UAUUUAUUUUGGUGCUUAUUGGCAGCUCUAGGAAAGGGAAUCUAAAAUCUGUAAAAGUGACAAUUUGUCAGUGUGUAUGUGUUGAAAACAAGGUAUCAAGAAAAACACUCAAAUACUGUUGAGUGGAAAACAUCCCCUAAACCACCUGACUAUAAUCAAGGAACCACACAAAAGAUAAAACGCUGAGCUUCUAAAUUUGAUAACGCUUGAUAAAGCAAAUAACUUUCUCCAAAGCGUCCAGCUUUUAAAAUAAUAAAACCCUAGAUUCUCGCCUAAAUGUACGCCAUCAGAAAGGCUGCAGGGCCUUUCAACACAGAUUAGUUCAGUUGACUUGACCAGGUCACUGAACGUCUUUAGACUUCAGUUUACUUACCUCUCUAGGGAUGGGGUGGAAACUGAUUUUCAAGGUGUAUUAAACCCUAAGUGUUUAUUGAGCACCUAAGAGUGUGUUAGCCCAGUCGAGGUUAUCAGAGUGUUCACAGGUGCGGGAAACUCCAGACCUCAGGGCCCCACUUGCCGUUGAGCGCCUUGUCCCACUGGUGGAGGACUGACCCCAGGAAGGCGCUCUCCCUGCGGUGCAAGCACUGGGUGCUGUCGCCAGGCCCCUAGGGGCAGCAGGCACAUGGCAGGAGGUAAGGAAAAGGAAGCCAAGCCCUGACUCCUGCCCUGGACGCUUGCUACCUGGGCCGAGAAACGUCACCAACUGGCAGCAAACGCUGAGAAAGGUGAAGCUCCCGCGGGAGCGAGGCUGCAGUUUCGGUGUCUCGGCACUUCAGCCCCUGGAUUUUACCUGGGGCUCACCCGGGUCAGGCCUGACUCGGGAAUGGGGCAUCCUCAGAGUCGAAGGCCAUUAAAGCUCUCGGGCAGCGCCCCUUCUCACCCCCUAAACGCUAGCCAAUAAGGUCUCCCAAGACACCACACAACCGUCCCUCCACCACUGAACGCCCCCAACUCCUACCGGUUCCGCAGCUGCUCUCGCGAUACUUCUAGAACGAAGCCCCCUUCGCUCCACCCUCCCUCCUCCAUCCACCAAUCAGUUAGGAGUUGGGGGCGGGGUUUUUCUUUUGAGCAGGGAGCGGGGCCUUCAAUCCUUGCGCUCUGGUGCUGAGAAUGGGCAGGACUGAGGCGGGGCUCCGAGAGAGGUGGGGCCGCGAGAGGGGGAGGACACGCACGAUAUCUCGCGAGACUGGAGACCAGGACGAUGCCUGUUUAGACGCGGCUAAGGCCGCGGGAGAUGGUAUUUCGGGAUAUUCUGCAUCUGAGCCAAGUCUGGUCUCCAGUUGGGGAGGCGGGACCCGGCCAGGCCCGGCCUGUGGAGGCGCGCAGUGCCCGCUGUGGUUUAGGGGAGAUUCAGGCCACGGCCUGUCAGAGCCAAGUCAGGGAGGCACCCACACUCCUGACAGGAACAGGAUAAGAUGACAGCGAUGGCGCCUGGAGGUGGUUGUGCCGGCGGCGUGAAUCCAUUCCUCAGCGAUUCGGCCGAGGAUAACGACGAGAUCUGCUUGGUGGGGCCAUAGAGACUCGAAAUGGGUGAAAGCAAAAGAAGAAGCUUUAUUUGGUUGGCCAAGCAAAGGAGCACACUGGGACAUCGCCAAGAAGGCUCCUAGAACAAUAGCCCAAGGAGUUUGUAUGUGUGAAGCAAAUCGGAUCUAGGGUCUGGACGAGCGCCUCCAGGUGGGGCCGGCUUGCUGAUUGGUCUGGCCCAAAAAGGCGUUCCCAGAGCAGUCUGGCCUUUCUGCACUUGCUCAGCCUAAAAAGGGGGGAGCCUCUCAAACCAGAUCUUAGGAUCCGAUCUUGGGCUUCGACCCCUCGCUUCUGAAAGCCUCUCCCUAAUCUUGGGUCGCUAAAGUUUGGUUCCCUCCAGUGGGAGAAUUCCGGGGUCACCCGGAGGACAGGGUAGAUGUUUCUGUGCAUGUCAGACAGGCCAGAUCUAGUUCUUGCCAGUUUCAGCUGGUUCUGCAACCCCAGUCUUGUUUUCCUCAACUUGGCCAGAAACUGGAAGCAUACCUAAAUAAGGUGAUAGGUUAAAGACAGGCAGUUAGUUCCUAACUCAUAGAAGAUGGCAGACACAGCCCUUUGCCUAUUGAAGAUGUGGGGCAGACUGCCGGUCUCUAUCUUGACAUCUAAGAGCGUUAAACCUGUUUACUUAGAAUAUCAGAAAAUUUAGGUGGACCUGCAACUUUCAAGAAUAUUGGACGGGGAAAUACAAAAUAAGAAUGAUGCUUACUCACUUGGAACAUUCAUAUGUACACUUUGACAUGCCAACAAUAUUGUGUCGUGUAUUAAAAAUAUUAGUGAUGAAUAACAUCGAUCUCAAAAAUACAGGAUAAAAUUGCUUUAGAUUUUUUAAAUAUUUUUGUCAUUUAGGAUUUUGAAUUAUGGAAUGUCAUAUUAAACACUUCAAAACCUCCAGGUUUAUGCAACUUUACUGAGAGUUUGGAGUGACUGGUAAAGAUCUUGUGGAUGUGCCCAGUGGAGUAGAAGAAGAUGAAUUAGAGGCCCUUAAACCAAUUAGGCAACCUUCCUCUAAACUUUGAAACUCCUCGGUUUAUAGAGGUGAGAGAUAGCUAACUGGUUAUGUCCAUAAAAAGUAUUUAUGUAAAAGCAUAUGUAAUGUGAGAUCUUGAGUUGGUUUUUCUCACAUUUUGAUUUUAAACCUCCUUUUCUAGUACAGAAAUUAGAGGAUAAAAUUAGUUUAUUAAAUCAUGAGAAAUGGUCUUUGAUGGAGCAAGUCAGAUUUGUAAGUACUCGAUCAUCAUUUCAAAACAAAAACCUUAAAGUUUUCAAAUUGGCAGAUUAUAUAAAUAUUUUAAUUGUAAGACACAAUUUUUACACAUUUUAAUUGUAAAAGUGAAGGUUUUAUAGUUGAUUUACAUAUUUAAUGUAAUAGGAAUUCUUUUUCUUUCCCAAGAAAGGAUUAAAUUAUUAAAGUGAUCUUACAAUUGAUUGUUUUGGAAACAAGGAAUAAGAUAUUUUGACUUCCCCUGAGUUGUGUCAGUAUCAAUAACUCCUUCAUAUCAGUGUCGUGCAUGUUUCCUGUUCAUUAUUUCAUUUAAUAUUUACAAUGAGUCUUUGGAUUAAAUGGAAUUAUCCCCAUUUUGCAAAUGAAGACAAGGAAAAGUGUUAAAAUCUAAAUUGUUUUAUUGGAUAUGAUCUUAUUAUGGAAAAGUAACUACCAUUAAUCCAAAACAGCAUAUAUAAUAAAAGGCCAUUUGUAUGCUUCAUUGGUAAGAGUUUGUAGCUAUGUAUAUGAAGCAAAAGUGAAUGUGAUACAGAAAAAAUUAAUUGUCGCCAAAGCAUUUUCUAUUAACGUGUUACAAUUUUUAAAACAUUAAACCCAUUGAGAUUUAUACUAUUGCCAAUGUUUUAAAAAUACAGUAAUUUUUCUUUCUACAGGGAAAUGGACUUCUCAGUUUUCUAGUGCUGCUAUAACAGAAAUACCAUAAGUAGAUGGCUUUAGCAAACAGAAAUUUAUUCUCUCACAGUGUAGGAGGCCGUUGUUAGGUGCCAUGGAGUCGGUUCAGACUCAUAGUGACCCUAUAGGAAAAAGCGGAACUGCCUCAUAGGGUUUCCGUGGAGCAGCUGGUGGAUUUGAACUGCCAGUCUUUUGGUUAGCAGCUUAUCUCUUAACCACUAUGCCACCAGAAGGCUAGAAGUCCAAAUUCAUGGUGCAAGCUCCAGGGGAAGGUUUUGUCUUUGUCAGCUCUGGGGGAAGGUCCUUGUCAUAAAUCUUCCCCUGGUCUAGGAGCUUCCUCAGUCCAGGACCUCAGGUCCAAAGGACACACUCUGCUACUGGCUCUUCUUUCUUGAUGGUAAUGAUGGCCCUCUCUCUGCUGGUUCUUUUUUUUUAUAUCUCAAAAGAGAUUGACUCAAGAUAAGACCUAACCCUGUCCAUUGAAUAUUGCCUUGUUAACAUAACUGCUUCUAAUCCUGCCUCAAAGACUUACAACAUACAGGAUAAUCACAUUAGAUCACAAAAUGGAGGACUAUCACACAAUACUGGGAAUCAUGGCCUAGCCAAGUUGACACACAUUUUAGGGGGACACAAUUCAAUCCACAACAUUUUGCUAAAAAACGAACAUUUUGCCAUCUCAGUAAUUUGUGAUUCUGUUCAACCUGCUUUGGAUCAGUCUUCCCACAAAGACUCUGAAGAUAGUAGGCAGAAUUCAGUUGUAAAUAGUCAGACAAGGGAAAAAGCAAAGCUAUUUAUCUUUCAGAAACCCUGGUGGCAUAGUGGAUAGGUGCUACAGCUGCUAACCAAAGGGUCGGCUAGUUCAAAUCCACCAGGCACUCCUUGGAAACCCUAUGGGGCAGUUCUACUCUGUUCUACAGGGUUGCUAUGAGUCAGAAUCGACGGCUUUUUUUAUUUUUCAUUAUCAGAUGAAAUGGAUUCUACUAGAUAAUGUCCAGGGCAAAAAGCCAAGUCUAUAUUGGUAUGUAAAGGUCACUUACUGGAAAAUAUAAAUAAAAAUUUGAAAAUAUUUUGUCCUUUCGAAUUGGUUUACAAAUAGGGAUCUAAAUUUAAUGAGAGGACUUUGGUGCUUUGAGCUAGACUCUCACAGUCAGAAACGUAGCACGUUUCACGCUAAUUAUGAUAGUGUGAGAAAGUUUAACCCUAGGCUUAACUUCUGUCAAAACAAUUCAACCUUCAGAAAUAAGCUAUUAAGCAUAACAUGAGUCUACAAUUAAAAAAAAAAACACUCCUGGUUAAUGUUUUCCAUCAGCAAGACAAAAUAUCCAGCAAUUGCUACUUUUAUAU
Loxodonta africana (African savanna elephant) is the source of this 4759-nucleotide long non-coding RNA. RefSeq lists it as uncharacterized. The transcript has 2 exons. The record is from RefSeq and is a predicted model, not a curated record. NCBI's taxonomy places the organism in Eukaryota, Metazoa, Chordata, Mammalia, Proboscidea, Elephantidae.